RNAcentral lists this ribosomal RNA (433 nucleotides) under Salmonella enterica. Its description in RNAcentral is "partial 23S ribosomal RNA". It matches the Rfam family "Bacterial large subunit ribosomal RNA", at positions 161 to 630 of the family's 2925-position model. RNAcentral also lists the same sequence under 1 other name. The record is from RNAcentral. Lineage: Bacteria; Pseudomonadati; Pseudomonadota; Gammaproteobacteria; Enterobacterales; Enterobacteriaceae.
AAUCCAUAGGUUAAUGAGGCGAACCGGGGGAACUGAAACAUCUAAGUACCCCGAGGAAAAGAAAUCAACCGAGAUUCCCCCAGUAGCGGCGAGCGAACGGGGAGGAGCCCAGAGCCUGAAUCAGCAUGUGUGUUAGUGGAAGCGUCUGGAAAGGCGCGCGAUACAGGGUGACAGCCCCGUACACAAAAGCGCAUGUGCUGUGAGCUCGAUGAGUAGGGCGGGACACGUGGUAUCCUGUCUGAAUAUGGGGGGACCAUCCUCCAAGGCUAAAUACUCCUGACUGACCGAUAGUGAACCAGUACCGUGAGGGAAAGGCGAAAAGAACCCCGGCGAGGGGAGUGAAAAAGAACCUGAAACCGUGUACGUACAAGCAGUGGGAGCACAGGUUUACCUGUGUGACUGCGUACCUUUUGUAUAAUGGGUCAGCGACUUA